AGUAAACCUUCCGAGAUUUUCAUGCUUCAUAACACAAAUUCAUAAUAGUUCUUCUGUAACACUCCAUUUUGAGGAAAAGCGAAAGGAUUAAUCUCUCCAAUAUUGUUUGGAGACGUGUGAUCUCUCUCUCUUCCAACUGCUUCAAAUCUCGCACAUAUCUCGAUAGACGGCGCUCACUCGAAGCUGGAGGUAUAUAUGAAUUAAGGGAGAAAACAGACAAGUGCAUCGGACCGACAUCUAAAUAAGGCAGACUAACGUAAUUUGUAAUUCUCUUGCAUGCGGAAUGACUUACAUGGCAGCUUUUUCAUAGCGCACAAACAAAGUCGCAAAAUAUUAUUCUAAGUAAAGGUUCUGAGAGGUUCAUAAAACCAACUCCUAGUUCUUCUGCAACACUCCAUUGUGAGGAAAAGCGAAGAGAAAAAUAUCUCCAAUAUGAUUUGAAGAUUACGUCUUCUCUUCCAACUAUCAGAGAAGAAGAUAGGGAAAGGUCUCUCUUCAAAACUUCAUUUUUGCUGACAACUUCUCUCGCAACAAGAGCACGACUUCCAUCUCGGUCUCUCAAUACCAUCUUGUGAUCAAGAGGGAAUCAGCAAACAUGGCAGAACUGGUGGCUGAAGCUUUUCUCACUGUUGCGUUUGAGAAACUAUUUAAACUGUUGGCUUCUCAAGAAUUCAGGAGCUUCUUCCAGGGAAAGAAAUCGAUUGACGAUCAGCUCGGGUUGUUGAAUGAGAAAUUAAAGACAGCUAGUCUGCUGCUUAAUGAUGCUGAAGAUAAGCAGAUCACUGACGACAGAGUCAAAGAAUGGCUCGACGAUCUCAAAGACGUCAUUUUCAGAGCAGAUGACUUGGUGGAGGAGAUCUGUAAUGACUGAGAAAAUUCCAGACCUUAAAUAAUAUAAUUCAUGUAUUUUUAAG
Molecule: long non-coding RNA, 914 nt
Organism: Morus notabilis
Lineage: Eukaryota; Viridiplantae; Streptophyta; Magnoliopsida; Rosales; Moraceae
Exons: 7
Source: RefSeq, a predicted model, not a curated record